ACUAAUACCCAAUGACGUCUCUAGAAGACAUCUGAAAGGGAUUAAAGAUUUUAUCGGUGAUGGAUGGGGAUGCGUCUGAUUAGCUUGUUGGCGGGGUAACGGCCCACCAAGGCAACGAUCAGUAGGGGUUCUGAGAGGAAGGUCCCCCACAUUGGAACUGAGACACGGUCCAAACUCCUACGGGAGGCAGCAGUGAGGAAUAUUGGUCAAUGGGCGAGAGCCUGAACUAGCCAAGUAGCGUGCAGGACGACGGCCCUAUGGGUUGUAAACUGCUUUUAUAAGGGAAUAAAGUGAGUCUCGUGAGGCUUUUGCAUGUACCUUAUGAAUAAGGACCGGCUAAUUCCGUG
RNAcentral lists this ribosomal RNA (347 nucleotides) under uncultured bacterium. Its description in RNAcentral is "bacterial SSU rRNA". It matches the Rfam family "Bacterial small subunit ribosomal RNA", at positions 162 to 507 of the family's 1533-position model. The record is from RNAcentral.